RNAcentral lists this long non-coding RNA (952 nucleotides) under Pavo cristatus (Indian peafowl). Its description in RNAcentral is "lncRNA (ENSPSTG00000018379.1)". The record is from RNAcentral. Lineage: Eukaryota; Metazoa; Chordata; Aves; Galliformes; Phasianidae.
AUGAAGAACUCUCUGCUUGCAGCUAUCAUUUUAUUUGCAGCAGAUUCCUGCAACUGUUUAAGCUGGGAUUUUCCAUUUUGCAAGCAGCUUCCAGAUUGGGACAAUGAAUUGGCCUGUUACAAAGAACUAAGUGAGGAUCUAACCUGUACCUGGCUGCCAGCACCCAGUGCUCCAAAUAUUAUUAAUUACACCUUUUUCUUAAAAUGGUAAGUCUAAAAGUCACUUCAGAAAAUGUAAAGUUAUCAUUGCUAUCUGGUCAUUCCUACCUGCCUAAAUUUUUUCAUACAUAUUUAAUCACAUUGUAGGUUGUUACACAAUUCUGAUCAAGCCUUUCCUCACACCUCAUCAAUUCUUAUUGACUUGGUAAGAGCUGCACAUUUCAAACUGCAGGGAGAGUGACACUGGCAAGCACACAUGGUACUAAGCAGACACUUCUGUCUGCUUUAUAAUCAAUGCAAAAACAGCUGGAAUUUGUGCUUGAACAGAACAGAUUUACAGAAAAGUUUGAAAUAGGUGCAUAGAGUCAACAACCAUUUGUCUAAUCUGAAGAAGAGUGAUGUACCAUUUUCUAAUUUCAUGAGAAGUGCCCAGAAAAGCUACUCAGGAUUGGAUUGAGAGGAUCUCAGUUGUAGCAACUGUACUUACCCGUCUUUUCCACAGAUUCAUUAAACUCUGAGCAAGCUGAAGCAUCUGCCUUCCCUCCUAGUUUUAAAGAAAAGAUAAUGGAACAACCAUGUAAGUUAGUAACCGUAUUUCAGAGAAGUGACACUAGCUCUUCCAACCAGUAAUUCUCUUCACUAUCCACUGAGAACAUGGAAAUGAUAUUACAACUACCCUCCCUCCACCCAGUAAACAGUGUUUUAUCCAAGCAAUUAUUUCUUCUUGCUGCAAUUUGCUAGUCAUUAAUCAUCUUUUCAUGCAUCAAAAAUCUCUGUUUGAAACUUUAUUUCCA